Molecule: long non-coding RNA, 1016 nt
Organism: Acinonyx jubatus (cheetah)
Lineage: Eukaryota; Metazoa; Chordata; Mammalia; Carnivora; Felidae
Exons: 4
Source: RefSeq, a predicted model, not a curated record
CCCUAGGAAUUUAGGUCGUGGCUAACCUCCAAGCUCCCUCCCUGCUGGGUCUUUAGCACGAGGCUGCCUCCCGGUUUCCAUGUUUCUGUCAUUCUUCUAGGGGGAGUUUGCUUUCGUAUAUGUGAUUCAGCUCUUCAGAGGGAACCCGUGACAGCCAUGUGAGAUGCGUUUAAUUUUGUAUGGUUUAAUUGUACAUUAGCCACAGGGUCUGCUAGAUGACUCUGCUUUUCCGAGGAAAACUUUUUCAAGGUUUUUUUUUUUUUUCUAGGAGACCGAAAAGAGGGAAACAUCUAUGACUAUUUCCUUUGUAAAUAUCCACGUCGGAAUAGAGAAAUCACAUAGAGUGGCUUUUUGUCCAAAACAGUUUUGUGGUAUUCUACAGUCAGGUCGCAACUAGAAUGAACGUUGUCAAUGCCGUUAUAUGAGGCAGAAUCAGAGUGAGGAAGGCAACUCCCGUGAUCUGGUAGACACAGAGGGGUGCCGCCCAGAUGCCCCUUCAAGGAGACUUCCAGAGACUCUAACCUGCGGCCAUCGGUGCUGGGCGUGGUCCCAGAAAGCAGGCGACAAAGUGAGGGUUUGAAAGUGGAUCACACACCACCAGACUGGCCGUGAGGCCCCCAUCGCUGGUGAAACUUAAGGAGCAGCUGAGGGUGAAAAUCAUGUAUGAAAUCCAGGCGUGAACGCCAGAAGGCUCACUGGAUAUUCACAGAUGCACCUUCAGACCUGCAACGGUGGGAGAAGAAAAAAAUUUGGACUCUUCCACCUAAGAGAUUGGACUUCAUAAAAAAUUAAAGCAGGCCCAUGUCAAGAGAGGGGACUAGGUUAGAAAAACCUUUAGUCCUAACAGAUGGAAUGGAGACAUCUUGGUGGAUGUCCCCAAAGAUUUUGACAUCUCACCGUCUGAACUUCCUAGGCCGUUGGCCACCCGAGAACUGGCAUGAUGGGCACAUGAAUGGAGAGGCCACCGUGACAGAGAUGGAGGCUGAGAAUAUUUCCAAGGGCACAUAAAGGCAGUU